This 163-nucleotide small nucleolar RNA is filed under the name Metschnikowia bicuspidata var. bicuspidata NRRL YB-4993. Its description in RNAcentral is "Small nucleolar RNA snR32". It matches the Rfam family "Small nucleolar RNA snR32". Lineage: Eukaryota; Fungi; Ascomycota; Pichiomycetes; Serinales; Metschnikowiaceae. The record is from Rfam by way of RNAcentral.
AACAUCAAAUCGCAGCUCCGAGCUUCAUAUAACCUGGUAUGAUUUGUAAUUUUUUUAUCGGGCGAAGCAUGUGUCGGGCAUAAGCGUAGAUUAAUAAGCACGUUGCUGGGCGCCUGACGUUGACAACUACAUGGGACGUUGGGAAUCAGUUGAGGCUACAUUU